This 274-nucleotide ribosomal RNA is filed under the name uncultured bacterium. Its description in RNAcentral is "partial 16S ribosomal RNA". It matches the Rfam family "Bacterial small subunit ribosomal RNA", at positions 523 to 796 of the family's 1533-position model. The record is from RNAcentral.
AUACGGAGGGUCCGAGCGUUAAUCGGAAUUACUGGGCGUAAAGCGCGCGUAGGUGGAUGUAUAAGUCAGAUGUGAAAGCCCUGGGCUCAACCUAGGAACUGCAUUUGAAACUGUACGUCUAGAGUAUGGUAGAGGUGAGUGGAAUUUCAGGUGUAGCGGUGAAAUGCGUAGAGAUCUGAAGGAACAUCAGUGGCGAAGGCGACUCACUGGGCCAUUCCUGACACUGAGGUGCGAAAGCGUGGGGAGCAAACAGGAUUAGAUACCCUAGUAGUCC